GUUUAUUUUACCCCUCAUGUGCCUUAGGUGUCUUUAGAAAAGCUGAUGCCCAAACCCUAGCCCAGACAAACUCUACAGAUCUCUUGGGGAGGGGCCAGGCAUCAGCGUGAAAGGAGCCAAGGUGAUUGUAAUGUGUGGAUCGACUGCAACAGAGCCCUUGUUGGAAUCUAAAUGCAACAUAAGAUUCCCGUUGAUUUGGAUUCUCUCUCAUGUUCCGACAGCACCAGCUCCUCUAGUUUCUUUCUCACCUGUGGAAAGGUACUGUUCUCAUCGACUCUCUCUUCAGCUAACCAACCCAUCAAGCCCCAUCUGCUACAUCAUUUUUUGGUUGACACGAUUUGUGAUUUGUCCUUUUUUGGAAUCUGGUGACAUCUGUAUAGACUGGCUGUUUAAUCACAGAAUCUGUGUGCUGUCUUUAUCAUGUGUUUAAGUCUUAUAUCUGGGAAGACUGCAUGAUCCAGGCAGGCAGAGUGGUGGACAGAACGUGGCUUAGGACUUGAAGAUCUAGAUUCCAGUCUGGGUUCCAACACUUGCUGCAAGGGUGGCCUGGAGGAUCAGACUCCUUUCUAUAGAUGCAGCGAUUGAAACGUUCUCCUCCUGUGCUCUGGUUGGAAUUAGAACCCUCGAGUGUGACCACCACCUAUCAGUAUCAAGUACCAAGCUUGUUCUGAGAGUCUGUCCUUUCUCGAAUCCUCCACCAGCAUGGCUCACUCACCACAGUGCCAGGGAUGUGUUGUGUGGCAGCUCCAUGGAUCUUUGUAGAAUUAAUAAAUGAGAAAAAAAGGUAAAAAUAACAUUUCCUCAAAUAGUGUGAAAUCGCGGAGAAUAAGGCUCUAAUGGGAUAGCGCCUUCACUGAAAGAAGGCACGAAAUAAUGAG
Long non-coding RNA from Heterocephalus glaber (naked mole-rat), 878 nucleotides. RefSeq lists it as uncharacterized. The record is from RefSeq and is a predicted model, not a curated record. NCBI's taxonomy places the organism in Eukaryota, Metazoa, Chordata, Mammalia, Rodentia, Bathyergidae.